Molecule: ribosomal RNA, 468 nt
Filed under: uncultured bacterium
Lineage: Bacteria
Description: partial 16S ribosomal RNA
Rfam family: Bacterial small subunit ribosomal RNA
Source: RNAcentral
GACGAACGCUGGCGGCGUGCUUAACACAUGCAAGUCGAACGGAAAGGACCUGCUUUUGUGGGGUGCUCGAGUGGCGAACGGGUGAGUAACACGUGAGUAACCUGCCCUUGACUUUGGGAUAACUUCAGGAAACUGGGGCUAAUACCGGAUAGGAGCUCCUGCUGCAUGGUGGGGGUUGGAAAGUUUCGGCGGUUGGGGAUGGACUCGCGGCUUAUCAGCUUGUUGGUGGGGUAGUGGCUUACCAAGGCUUUGACGGGUAGCCGGCCUGAGAGGGUGACCGGGCACAUUGGGACUGAGAUACGGGCCAGACUCCUACGGGAGGCAGCAGUGGGGAAUAUUGCACAAUGGGCGGAAGCCUGAUGCAGCAACUCCGCGUGCGGGAUGACGGCCUUCGGGUUGUAAACCGCUUUCGCCUGUGACGAAGCGUGAGUGACGGUAAUGGGUAAAGAAGCACCGGCUAACUACGUG